CCUACGGGAGACAGCAGUGGGGAAUAUUGCUCAAUGGGGGAAACCCUGAAGCAGCAAAGCCGCGUGGAGGAUGACGGUUUUAUGGUUGGAAACUCCUUUUGUUAGGGGAGAUAAUGGCGGUAUCUGACGAGUAAUCCACGGCUAACUCCGUUCCAGCAGCCGCGGUACUACGGCGGGUGCAAGCGUUACUCGGAAUCACUGGGCGUAAAGCGCGCGUAGGCGGGAUAGCAAGUCAGAUGUGAAAUCCUAUGGCUUAACCAUAGAACUGCAUUUGAAACUGUUAUUCUAGAGUAUGGGAGAGGUAGGUGGAAUUCUUGGUGUAGGGGUAAAAUCCGUAGAGAUCAAGAGGAAUACUCAUUGCGAAGGCGACCUGCUAGAACAUAACUGACGCUGAUGCGCGAAAGCGUGGGGAGCAAACAGGAUUAGAUACCCGGGUAGUC
Molecule: ribosomal RNA, 440 nt
Filed under: uncultured bacterium
Lineage: Bacteria
Description: partial 16S ribosomal RNA
Rfam family: Bacterial small subunit ribosomal RNA
Source: RNAcentral